GCAGCACAGAUUGACAACAGGACAGGAAAACACAACAGAGUUUUUGAUACCUAGAAAAGUCAAAUGGGACCUUUGGAUGUUUGGAAAGUCCAACCACUAAAUGCUUUCCUGUUUCAUGUACUAUGGAGGGGAGUUCUCAUCUUCAUUCCUGCUCCAGAGAUAUUGACCUGCAGGAUGAGGAGACUUGGUGUGAGAACCAUAUGGAAGGGAAGAAGUAUCCCAGGCCCAAGAUACAAGUUUAUGGAUUGCAAGACAGGAGGCCAAACACCAAAACAGCAUCUAACAAAAGUGCUUUUUCUGUAGGAAGAGGCAAUACAACAUUUUGCUUCAGAAGAAUCUUAUUGGCCCUUCCUGGAUACUGGGUUGUAGGAAGAACUGAUGAAUGCUCCCUGCUGUGAGAGGAUGACUCUUCCAUCAAAGAGAGUGACCGUGGUUUUUUUGUUCCUGAGGACUCCUUCCUUCCCUCACAUGCUGCUUAUCUGGAUGAAGAAUCAUGGCUGGAAUUUAUAAAUGCUUCUCUGUUGUGCAAAGGAGCUUUGAUAGCAUGAAAUGAAUAACAGGUAACGUAAUAAGAAAAAGUAUCUGGCUACAGCUUUGGAAAUGU
RNAcentral lists this long non-coding RNA (604 nucleotides) under Junco hyemalis (dark-eyed junco). RNAcentral describes it as "lncRNA (ENSJHYG00000011032.1)". The record is from RNAcentral. Lineage: Eukaryota; Metazoa; Chordata; Aves; Passeriformes; Passerellidae.